This 1443-nucleotide ribosomal RNA is filed under the name uncultured organism. Its description in RNAcentral is "SSU rRNA". It matches the Rfam family "Bacterial small subunit ribosomal RNA". The record is from RNAcentral.
AGGAUGAACGCUAGCUACAGGCUUAACACAUGCAAGUCGAGGGGCAUCAGGAAGAAAGCUUGCUUUCUUUGCUGGCGACCGGCGCACGGGUGAGUAACACGUAUCCAACCUGCCCUUUACUCGGGGAUAGCCUUUCGAAAGAAAGAUUAAUACCCGAUAGCAUAAUGAUUCCGCAUGGUUUCAUUAUUAAAGGAUUCCGGUAAAGGAUGGGGAUGCGUUCCAUUAGGUUGUUGGUGAGGUAACGGCCCACCAAGCCUUCGAUGGAUAGGGGUUCUGAGAGGAAGGUCCCCCACAUUGGAACUGAGACACGGUCCAAACUCCUACGGGAGGCAGCAGUGAGGAAUAUUGGUCAAUGGGCGCUAGCCUGAACCAGCCAAGUAGCGUGAAGGAUGAAGGCUCUAUGGGUCGUAAACUUCUUUUAUAUAAGAAUAAAGUGCAGUAUGUAUACUGUUUUGUAUGUAUUAUAUGAAUAAGGAUCGGCUAACUCCGUGCCAGCAGCCGCGGUAAUACGGAGGAUCCGAGCGUUAUCCGGAUUUAUUGGGUUUAAAGGGAGCGUAGGUGGACUGGUAAGUCAGUUGUGAAAGUUUGCGGCUCAACCGUAAAAUUGCAGUUGAUACUGUCAGUCUUGAGUACAGUAGAGGUGGGCGGAAUUCGUGGUGUAGCGGUGAAAUGCUUAGAUAUCACGAAGAACUCCGAUUGCGAAGGCAGCUCACUGGACUGCAACUGACACUGAUGCUCGAAAGUGUGGGUAUCAAACAGGAUUAGAUACCCUGGUAGUCCACACAGUAAACGAUGAAUACUCGCUGUUUGCGAUAUACAGUAAGCGGCCAAGCGAAAGCAUUAAGUAUUCCACCUGGGGAGUACGCCGGCAACGGUGAAACUCAAAGGAAUUGACGGGGGCCCGCACAAGCGGAGGAACAUGUGGUUUAAUUCGAUGAUACGCGAGGAACCUUACCCGGGCUUAAAUUGCAGUGGAAUGAUGUGGAAACAUGUCAGUGAGCAAUCACCGCUGUGAAGGUGCUGCAUGGUUGUCGUCAGCUCGUGCCGUGAGGUGUCGGCUUAAGUGCCAUAACGAGCGCAACCCUUACCUUUAGUUACUAACAGGUUAUGCUGAGGACUCUGGAGAGACUGCCGUCGUAAGAUGUGAGGACGGUGGGGAUGACGUCAAAUCAGCACGGCCCUUACGUCCGGGGCUACACACGUGUUACAAUGGGGGGUACAGAAGGCAGCUACCUGGCGACAGGAUGCUAAUCCCAAAAACCUCUCUCAGUUCGGAUCGAAGUCUGCAACCCGACUUCGUGAAGCUGGAUUCGCUAGUAAUCGCGCAUCAGCCAUGGCGCGGUGAAUACGUUCCCGGGCCUUGUACACACCGCCCGUCAAGCCAUGAAAGCCGGGGGUACCUGAAGUACGUAACCGCAAGGAGCGUCCUAGGGUAAAACUGGU